UACGUAGGGGGCAAGCGUUGUCCGGAUUUAUUGGGCGUAAAGAGCGUGUAGGCGGCCGUACAGGUCAGCUGUGAAAACUCGAGGCUCAACCUCGAGAUGUCGGUUGAAACCGUACGGCUAGAGUCCGGAAGAGGAGAGUGGAAUUCCCGGUGUAGCGGUGAAAUGCGCAGAUAUCGGGAAGAACACCCGUGGCGAAGGCGGCGCUCUGGGACGGUACUGACGCUGAGACGCGAAAGCGUGGGGAGCGAACAGG
This 253-nucleotide ribosomal RNA is filed under the name uncultured bacterium. RNAcentral describes it as "partial 16S ribosomal RNA". It matches the Rfam family "Bacterial small subunit ribosomal RNA", at positions 524 to 776 of the family's 1533-position model. The record is from RNAcentral.